UACGUAGGGUGCAAGCGUUAAUCGGAAUUACUGGGCGUAAAGCGUACGCAGGCGGCUUUGCAAGACAGGUGUGAAAUCCCCGGGCCUAACCUGGGAACUGCAUUUGUGACUGCAUGGCUAGAGUUUGUCAGAGGGGGGUGGAAUUCCACGUGUAGCAGUGAAAUGCGUAGAUAUGUGGAGGAACACCGCUGGCGAAGGCAGCCCCCUGGGAUGUGACUGACGCUCAUGUACGAAAGCGUGGGGAGCAAAUAGG
This 253-nucleotide ribosomal RNA is filed under the name uncultured bacterium. RNAcentral describes it as "partial 16S ribosomal RNA". It matches the Rfam family "Bacterial small subunit ribosomal RNA", at positions 524 to 776 of the family's 1533-position model. The record is from RNAcentral.